CAGAGAAGGUUGCUGCUGUUUUCUAUCACAGCCACAUUUAACUUCAUCUGGAGCUCAGGUGAAAGUCCUUCUACUCUGUUCCUCAUCAUGACCCCGAUGAUGCUCAUUAGAGCGAACCUCCGCAUCAUGUCUUGCAGGGUAAACAAAUGAUUAGCUGUAACUUACAAUUAGCCCAUCACGAGUCAGAAUUCAGGUUUUACCACUAUCUUCAGCCUGGGUUAUACUGCUCUGUUCACCUGUUCCUGAAAACACACCCACCAGCCUCCCACUCUCUGGUUGGCUCCGCGAUUGCUCUGAAAUGAGCCCUCUUUGAGGAGCUCAGUGUAACUUUUCGGGUAAGGAGGCAGGUCGACCUGGAGUAAACUGCUGUUCUGGAGUCCUCCAGAAUGGAGUCCGUCUCUGCCUGUGCACGUAGUGGCACAUUUGCGGUGCUGUGAAUGCGCAAAUAUUUUUUGUCUUCUCCUUUUAACUCCUUGUCAGGUUAGGUGGAGUGGGAGGAGAGAUCUGCCAGAGGGGGGUGGAGAGACCAGGAGGUUGUUUACCCUUGGGACUGGAGGCUGUGAAGACUGGUGUGCCAGGAUGAUUGAUGGUCCAAGAGUUUCUGUAGUUGGUGCAAUGGAAGGAGGAGGGUGGACAGGGUUCGCAGAGGGAGAUCCAUGGAACGAAGGAAUCAAGACACUGCCAGCUGGUUUGAUCCAAUGAGGAAACAGGAGGCUUGAGUCUUGGUUCAUGGAACUGGAUAGUUUCUUUUGUAGAAUAUAAACUAUCUAUGUUUGUAACUGGAAUGUGCUGAUAGAAAUCAUAAAUUGGGGAAGGACAGGAGCAGCGGAUAGGGAGUGAAGGAGACGAUAAGAGGAGCCUGCUGGAAGUAAUAACAGGAAGCACUCCUUAUUUGGACAUAAGGAACUGUUAUGUUGUACAACUAAGAGAUAUGAUAUAUGUAAAAAAGGAAAUGUUGAACACGCCCUGGAGACUUAAUAAAACGAGCUGGAAGCGGACAGAGAGCAGAGUUGUUGCUCACAGGUGUUGGCUGGGGCAUCUCUCUCCCUCUGCGCAGAGGCGAACUUAA
Molecule: long non-coding RNA, 1069 nt
Organism: Girardinichthys multiradiatus
Lineage: Eukaryota; Metazoa; Chordata; Actinopteri; Cyprinodontiformes; Goodeidae
Exons: 2
Source: RefSeq, a predicted model, not a curated record